UAAUAAUCAUCAUUCGAUUUUGAUAUAACGAUAUCAUUAUUUAUUUACUCCGUAGCCGAUGAAUUGAUUGAUUAGCCCGAAAUGUUGUUAAUGUUGUUAAUUUGUUGUGGUACGAAUGGUAAUGUUCAGUGAUUGCACUAUAUCAAAUUGCAGGACAAAAACCACGUGCUCGUGUGCACUAUGUCGGAAUGUUCUGAGCCUUGGACCUUAAAUAUGCCU
Non-coding RNA from Cinara cedri, 219 nucleotides. The record is from the annotation of a GenBank genome assembly. NCBI's taxonomy places the organism in Eukaryota, Metazoa, Arthropoda, Insecta, Hemiptera, Aphididae.